Molecule: ribosomal RNA, 429 nt
Filed under: Acidobacteriota bacterium
Lineage: Bacteria; Pseudomonadati; Acidobacteriota
Description: Acidobacteria bacterium partial 16S ribosomal RNA
Rfam family: Bacterial small subunit ribosomal RNA
Source: RNAcentral
UGGGGAAUUUUGGACAAUGGGGGAAACCCUGAUCUAGCCAUCCCGCGUGUGCGAUGAAGGCCUUCGGGUUGUAAAGCACUUUUGGCAGGAAAGAAACGUCAUGGGUUAAUACCCCGUGAAACUGACGGUACCUGCAGAAUAAGCACCGGCUAACUACGUGCCAGCAGCCGCGGUAAUACGUAGGGUGCAAGCGUCAAUCGGAAUUACUGGGCGUAGAGCGUGCGCAGGCGGUUCGGAAAGAAAGAUGUGAAAUCCCAGAGCUCAACUUUGGAACUGCAUUUUUAACUACCGAGAUAAAGGGUGUCGGGGGGAGGUGGAAUUCCGCGUGUAGCAAUGAAAUGCGUAGAAGUGCGGAAGAACACCGUUGACGAAGGCAGCCGCCUGGGAUAACACUGACGCUCAUGCACGAAGGCGUGGGGAGCAAACAGA